GCGGCCAUACCACAUUGAAAACAUCGGUUCUCGUCCGAUCACCGAAGUUAAGCAAUGUCGGUUAGUACUUGGGGGGGGGGGGGUGACCACCUGGGAACACCGGGUGCUAUAGGCU
Non-coding RNA from Cordylochernes scorpioides, 115 nucleotides. The record is from the annotation of a GenBank genome assembly. Lineage: Eukaryota; Metazoa; Arthropoda; Arachnida; Pseudoscorpiones; Chernetidae.